CUUUGACUAAGUAAUAUAAGAAUUCCCAAAUUUUCUGGAAUUUGUAUUCUCUUUAUCCACGCCAAACAAAUAACAUAAUUUUCCUUUUAUCUCUGCACGAUUCUUUCGAUUUGCCUAAUUCUCAGGUCAUCUUUCCAGCUCCACUUGGUUGUGUAGUGCAUUUGUUUCCAAGAAAGCUUUUUUAUUGGAGAUGGCUGAGGACGGUCACAAGGUUAUCUUGAAUGUCUAUGACCUGAGCCA
Molecule: long non-coding RNA, 240 nt
Organism: Solanum tuberosum (potato)
Lineage: Eukaryota; Viridiplantae; Streptophyta; Magnoliopsida; Solanales; Solanaceae
Exons: 3
Source: RefSeq, a predicted model, not a curated record